Long non-coding RNA from Mirounga angustirostris (Northern elephant seal), 2828 nucleotides. RefSeq lists it as uncharacterized. The transcript is spliced from 4 exons. The record is from RefSeq and is a predicted model, not a curated record. Lineage: Eukaryota; Metazoa; Chordata; Mammalia; Carnivora; Phocidae.
UUGGCCAGAGUCAGUCACGGAUCAGUGUUACGGCUGGGAUUUGAUUCUAGAGCUUGAAUUCUUAAUCACUAUAUUGCUUUAAGGACGAUGUCUAAAUACCCUCCAGCCUCUGGGAAAGGAGCCCUGGGGUGAGUCAGAGGACCGAAUCUGGAUGAGUUUCAAGCAAGUGGAUGGUGUGGCUUGGCAGAAAAUAAGGGAAGCCUUUUACUCUGUGAAGAUGCCAGGGUAGCAUCACCGUUGGAUCAGCAUAUUUGAAUAGUUCUGGAGCACUGGGGCAUAGACACAUCCCACCAAUGCCUUUUGUGCUGCUCUUGGGGGUUGUUCUCUGGAAAAUUUACUGAAACGGCCAGGAAGCUGCCACUUUCAAGAAUUUCAAAUCUGAAAAGAGAAAAGGAUGAGGCCGUUAGACGGUGUGAGUCAGAAGGCUGAGCGCUGCCCGUGGCUGUGCUGGUUUGGAACAAUAGUCACUUUCCGCCCAAAUGAUGCUUUUGAUGAAUGUGGUCCCUGGAUAUUCAGCUGGGAUGGUGAUCUACAGAGACAGCAAAUAAAGUGGCUGUUCCUUUGAGGAACAAGAAGAAAGUCUCUUCUCUUCAACACGACAGCCUCUGAUUCAGUGUGAGAAGGAUGGAAGGGGCUGAGGAUGUUUAGUGUACUAAAGAGAAACUGUCUGGUAGACAUGUGAUCUGCUUAUAUUUGAAAUGCUGUUAUUUAGAGGGGGUUUGUUCUUUCUUUAUCUAAAGAGUAUGAGUUAAAGAGGACUGGAUUAGGAGCUUUUCAUAGACUGACUUGCAGACGUGGAAAGCUCUUCAUCCAGGGAAUAGACUGCCUCAGCUUCCUGACUUUGAAGAUGUUUAAACAGACGCUAAAUGACUACACGCCUCAGUGCCGCAGGAUGCCUCCUGUGUGUGGAAUCAGGUUAGACUAAUGACUUCUGGGGUCCCUCCCCAUGCUGAGAUCUAAUGGUCUUUCAGUGCCUUCUCUCCUCUCCUACUUGUAUCUACUGCUCAAGGUCUGGAGGAGCAUUUGGAGAAAAGGAUGAAAUGCUUCAGACUUCCACAGUUGCCAGGCUUCUUAGCUUUGUUAAAGGCAGAACAACUUGGAGAAGUCUUGGCUAUGUGAUGCUAGAAGAAGCUUUUAAGGAACUGGUGAUCCAAGGGCUGUUGUCUUCAUAUUAAAAUGAUGCUUUAAGAUCACAGAAUUUUGAGAAGAUUCAUGUCAGCCUGCACCAUAGGCUGGCUGGUUCCACCUGAGUCCAUUUUUAUAUAAACUUUUAAUAGUUGAAGUAUAUAUAUGGGAUGUGUUUACAAGUCCUAAGUGUACAGCUUGAUAAAGUAUCACAAAGUGAACAAAGUUUUAAUUAUAGAAAUUACUUAUAUUUAUAGGUACACUUAUAAUUACUUAUAAUUACCAUGUAGAUCAAGAAAUAUAUUACCCAGGAAUAGAACUGCACCCCAAAAGCUCCCACCGUUCCCACCUGUGUUCUUUCCUGGUCUCUAGCCCAUCAUCUUGUCCCCAGAGGUAACCCAUAUCCUGAUUGCUAACAUUAUAGGUAGCUUUUGCCUGUUUUGAGUUUUAUAUAUUCACACCACCAGCAUAUAAGCAUCCUAAUUGCUACACAUUCUUUAUAUUUUUUAUGGCACUUGGUAUUAUUAUGUCUUUUUACCUUAGCCACUUUGGUGUACUGAUGUCCUACCACUUUUAAAAUUUGCUUUUCCCCAGUAACUCAAAAUUGAACACUUUUGCUAAUAUUUGUUGGCAAUUCACAUAUCCUCAUUUAAAAAGUACCUGUUCAUAUCUUUUGCUCAGUUUUCAACUGGUUUGUCUGCAUUUUUUUCUUUGACGUGUAGAUAUUCUUUCUGUUUCUGCCUAUGGUACGAGAUAGGGGUCAGAUCUUCUGCCAACACACCCCAUAAAAAUAUCUAAGCAUCUCAGCAACAUUACUGAAAGUAAAAAAUGUUCCCUGCUACUCUGCAGUGCCACCCUUGACAAGUCAGUUCUCCACAAAACUGUGGGCCUGUUUCUGGACUUUCUCUUCUGCUUCAAUGAUCUAUUUAUUUAUUCUGUCUUAAUUACUACAGCUUCAUAACUCUUGCUAUAACUCCAGUUUUGAUCUUCUUCAAGAUUGUCUUGGUUAUUCUUCGCCUUUUGCAUUUCCACAUAAAAUUUUGAAUCCAGUUGUCAAUUUCUAUAAUUAAAAAAAAUCCUGCUGGGAUUUGGAAACAACUGACAUCUUUACACCCUUAACUCUUCCAAUCUAUGUUGGAUAGGUUUCUAUAUAGAGGUCUUACACAUCUUCCAGUGGAUUAAUUCCUAGGUUUUUAAGUUUUUUAAAAUGCAGAUAUCAUUUGAAAUAUUAUUUUCUAUUUGCUGGUACAUAGAAUUAAUAUUGCAAUUAAUUUUUAUAUUAAUCUUUUAUCUAGGUAACUUGGUAAGUACACUUAUUAAUUAUAGUAGAUUUUCUGUAGGUUCUUUUGCAUUUUCUGUCUACACAUAAUAAUAUCUGCAAAUAGUGACAGCAAUUUUUUUUCUUUUUUUAGUCCUUUUACCAUUCAUUUCUUUUUUCUGUUUUUAUUGAAGUAUAAUUAACAUACAGUGUUAUAUUAGUAUUAAUUGUACAUAUAAUGAUUCAACAUUUCUAUAUGUUUCUCAGUGCUCAUCAUGGUAAAUGUACUCUUAAUCCUCUAUUUCACUCAUCUCCCCACCAACCUUCCCUCUGGCAGCCAGCAAUUUGUUCUCUAUUUACGAGUUUGUUUUUUAAAAAAAAAAGAAGAAGAAGAUAGCAGGAGGGGAAGGAUGAAGGGGGGGAAAUCGGAGGAGGAGACGAACCA